UACAGAGGUCUCAAGCGUUGUUCGGAAUCACUGGGCGUAAAGGGUGCGUAGGCUGCAUGGUAAGUCAGAGGUGAAAUCCCGGAGCUCAACUUCGGAAUUGCCUCCGAUACUGCCGUGCUUGAGGGCUGGAGAGGAGUCUGGAAUUCACAGUGGAGCAGUGAAAUGCGUAGAUAUUGUGAGGAACACUAGUUGCGAAGGCGAGACUCUGGACAGUUUCUGACGCUGAGGCACGAAGGCCAGGGGAGCAAACGGG
RNAcentral lists this ribosomal RNA (253 nucleotides) under uncultured bacterium. Its description in RNAcentral is "partial 16S ribosomal RNA". It matches the Rfam family "Bacterial small subunit ribosomal RNA", at positions 524 to 776 of the family's 1533-position model. The record is from RNAcentral.